RNAcentral lists this ribosomal RNA (497 nucleotides) under uncultured bacterium. Its description in RNAcentral is "partial 16S ribosomal RNA". It matches the Rfam family "Bacterial small subunit ribosomal RNA", at positions 28 to 507 of the family's 1533-position model. The record is from RNAcentral.
GAUGAACGCUGGCGGCGUGCCUAAUACAUGCAAGUCGAGCGAACAGACGAGGAGCUUGCUCCUUCGACGUUAGCGGCGGACGGGUGAGUAACACGUAGAUAACCUACCUAUAAGACUGGGAUAACUUCGGGAAACCGGAGCUAAUACCGGAUAAUAUAUCGAACCGCAUGGUUCGAUAGUGAAAGAUGGCUUUGCUAUCACUUAUAGAUGGACCUGCGCCGCAUUAGCUAGUUGGUAAGGUAACGGCUUACCAAGGCAACGAUACGUAGCCGACCUGAGAGGGUGAUCGGCCACACUGGAACUGAGACACGGUCCAGACUCCUACGGGAGGCAGCAGUAGGGAAUCUUCCGCAAUGGGCGAAAGCCUGACGGAGCAACGCCGCGUGAGUGAUGAAGGUCUUCGGAUCGUAAAACUCUGUUAUUAGGGAAGAACAAACGUGUAAGUAGCUGUGCACGUCUUGACGGUACCUAAUCAGAAAGCCACGGCUAACUACGUG